This 465-nucleotide ribosomal RNA is filed under the name uncultured bacterium. RNAcentral's name for it is "partial 16S ribosomal RNA". It matches the Rfam family "Bacterial small subunit ribosomal RNA", at positions 338 to 795 of the family's 1533-position model. The record is from RNAcentral.
CCUACGUGGGACUGCAGUAGGGAAUCUUCCACAAUGGGCGAAAGCCUGAUGGAGCAACGCCGCGUGGGUGAAGAAGGUCUUCGGAUCGUAAAACCCUGUUGUUAGAGAAGAAAGUGCGUGAGAGUAACUGUUCACGUUUCGACGGUAUCUAACCAGAAAGCCACGGCUAACUACGUUCCAGCAGCCGCGGUAAUACGUAGGUGGCAAGCGUUAUCCGGAUUUAUUGGGCGUAAAGGGAACGCAGGCGGUCUUUUAAGUCUGAUGUGAAAGCCUUCGGCUUAACCGGAGUAGUGCAUUGGAAACUGGGAGACUUGAGUGCAGAAGAGGAGAGUGGAACUCCAUGUGUAGCGGUGAAAUGCGGAGAUAUAUGGAAGAACACCAGUGGCGAAAGCGGCUCUCUGGUCUGUAACUGACGCUGAGGUUCGAAAGCGUGGGUAGCAAACAGGAUUAGAUACCCGAGUAGUC